Molecule: transfer-messenger RNA, 332 nt
Filed under: Roseobacter cerasinus
Lineage: Bacteria; Pseudomonadati; Pseudomonadota; Alphaproteobacteria; Rhodobacterales; Roseobacteraceae
Rfam family: Alphaproteobacteria transfer-messenger RNA
About the family: Bacterial tmRNA, also known as 10Sa RNA or SsrA, is named for its dual tRNA and mRNA-like properties. Its role is to liberate the mRNA from a stalled ribosome.
Source: RNAcentral
CCCUUAUAUCUUCCAUGUUCUUCGGAACUAUGGACAUAAACGCGCUCGCAAUAAGCGGAUCGGACCCGGGGGCGGUACCCGGCGGCUCCACCAAACAUCCUUCAUUUGAGGAUCAUGGGGCCGAAACAGGAUCGACGAACGUCUAAAGGGGUUAGCUUUGUUUCGGUGAGAUACCACCGUUAUCGGUUCAAAACGUACAAUUGCAAAUGACAAUCGUGCACCAGUAGCGAUGGCCGCGUAAGCGACCGGAGAGACUGAACUCUUAAGCCCUAGCGCCUUGCAGCACUAGGCGGGGUCCGCAGGCACCUGGCAACAGAAGCCUGCACUUUACU